RNAcentral lists this ribosomal RNA (496 nucleotides) under uncultured eukaryote. RNAcentral's name for it is "bacterial SSU rRNA". It matches the Rfam family "Eukaryotic small subunit ribosomal RNA", at positions 14 to 489 of the family's 1831-position model. The record is from RNAcentral.
CUGACGGUAGUCGUAUGCUCGUCUCCGAGACUAAGCCAUGCAAGUCCAAGUACACGUCCUUGAACGACGGAAACUGCGAACGGCUCAUUAAAUCAGUUGCGAUCUACUCGGCGUUCCGCGCCGCCGGAUAACCGUAGUAAUUCUAGGGCUAAUACGUGCGAAGCGCCGAAGCCGCGAGGCGACGGCGUUCUCGCCGGAUGUAGGAACCGACCCGGGGACCGCCGGGGCAACCCCGGCGCCCCCCGAGACGGGGCGAACCACGGUGAAAUGACGGAUCGUCGGCCCCGCGCCGGCGACUCGCCGAAUGAGUUUCUGACCUAUCAACUCGAGACGGCGGGGUAGAGGCCCGCCGCGGUAACGACGGGUAACGGGGAAUCAGGGUUCGAUUCCGGAGAGGGAGCCCGAGAAACGGCUACCACUUCCAAGGAAGGCAGCAGGCGCGCAACUUACCCUAAUCUCGAUUCGAGGAGGUAGUGACAAGAAAUACCGAUGCGGG